GACGAACUUUGGCGGCGUGCUUAACACAUGCAAGUCGAACGGAAAGGCCCUGCUUUUGUGGGGUGCUCGAGUGGCGAACGGGUGAGUAACACGUGAGUAACCUGCCCUUGACUUUGGGAUAACUUCAGGAAACUGGGGCUAAUACCGGAUAGGAGCUCCUGCUGCAUGGUGGGGGUUGGAAAGUUUCGGCGGUUGGGGAUGGACUCGCGGCUUAUCAGCUUGUUGGUGGGGUAGUGGCUUACCAAGGCUUUGACGGGUAGCCGGCCUGAGAGGGUGACCGGCCACAUUGGGACUGAGAUACGGCCCAGACUCCUACGGGGGGCAGCAGUGGGGAAUAUUGCACAAUGGGCGGAAGCCUGAUGCAGCAACGCCGCGUGCGGGAUGACGGCCUUCGGGUUGUAAACCGCUUUCGCCUGUGACGAAGCGUGAGUGACGGUAAUGGGUAAAGAAGCACCGGCUAACUACGUGCCAGCAGCCGCGGUGAUACGUAGGGUGCGAGCGUUGUCCGGAUUUAUUGGGCGUAAAGGGCUCGUAGGUGGUUGAUCGCGUCGGAAGUGUAAUCUUGGGGCUUAACCCUGAGCGUGCUUUCGAUACGGGUUGACUUGAGGAAGGUAGGGGAGAAUGGAAUUCCUGGUGGAGCGGUGGAAUGCGCAGACAACAGGAGGAACACCAGUGGCGAAGGCGGUUCUCUGGGCCUUUCCUGACGCUGAGGAGCGAAAGCGUGGGGAGCGAACAGGCUUAGAUACCCUGGUAGUCCACGCUGUAAACGGUGGGUACUAGGUGUGGGGUCCAUUCCACGGGUUCCGUGCCGUAGCUAACGCUUUAAGUACCCCGCCUGGGGAGUACGGCCGCAAGGCUAAAACUCAAAGGAAUUGACGGGGCCCCGCACAAGCGGCGGAGCAUGCGGAUUAAUUCGAUGCAACGCGUAGAACCUUACCUGGGUUUGACAUGGAUCGGGAGUGCUCAGAGAUGGGUGUGCCUCUUUUGGGGUCGGUUCACAGGUGGUGCAUGCCUGUCGUCAGCUCGUGUCGUGAGAUGUUGGGUUAAGUCCCGCAACGAGCGCAACCCUUGUUCACUGUUGCCAGCACGUUAUGGUGGGGACUCAGUGGAGACCGCCGGGGUCAACUCGGAGGAAGGUGGGGAUGACGUCAAGUCCUCAUGCCCCUUAUGUCCAGGGCUUCACGCAUGCUACAAUGGCUGGUACAGAGAGUGGCGAGCCUGUGAGGGUGAGCGAAUCUCGGAAAGCCGGUCUCAGUUCGGAUUGGGGUCUGCAACUCGACCUCAUGAAGUCGGAGUCGCUAGUAAUCGCAAAUCAGCAACGCUGCGGUGAA
RNAcentral lists this ribosomal RNA (1331 nucleotides) under uncultured bacterium. RNAcentral's name for it is "bacterial SSU rRNA". It matches the Rfam family "Bacterial small subunit ribosomal RNA", at positions 28 to 1366 of the family's 1533-position model. The record is from RNAcentral.